RNAcentral lists this ribosomal RNA (460 nucleotides) under uncultured bacterium. RNAcentral describes it as "partial 16S ribosomal RNA". It matches the Rfam family "Bacterial small subunit ribosomal RNA", at positions 338 to 795 of the family's 1533-position model. The record is from RNAcentral.
CCUACGGGUGGCAGCAGUGAGGAAUAUUGGUCAAUGGGCGUAAGCCUGAACCAGCCAAGUCGCGUGAGGGAUGAAGGUUCUAUGGAUCGUAAACCUCUUUUAUAAGGGAAUAAAGUGUGGGACGUGUCCUAUCUUGUAUGUACCUUAUGAAUACGGAUCGUCUAACUCCGUGCCAGCAGCCGCGGUAAUACGGAGGAUCCGAGCGUUAUCCGGAUUUAUUGGGUUUAACGGGUGCGUAGGCGGUCUUUUAAGUUAGCGGUGAAAGUCUGUGGCUCAACCGUAGAAUUGCCGUUGAAACUGGGAGGCUUGAGUAUGUUUGAGGCAGGCGGAAUGCGUGGUGUAGCGGUGAAAUGCUUAGAUAUAACGCAGAACCCCGAUGGCGAAGGCAGCCUGCCAAGCCAUGACUGACGCUGAUGCACGAAAGCGUGGGGAUCAAACAGGAUUAGAUACCCGAGUAGUC